UACGAAGGUGGCAAGCGUUGUUCGGGUUUACUGGGCGUACAGGGAGCGUAGGCGGUUGGAUAAGCCCUCCGUGAAAUCUCCAGGCUUAACCUGGAAAGUGCAGAGGGGACUGUUCAGCUAGAGGAUGGGAGAGGAGCGCGGAAUUCCCGGUGUAGCGGUGAAAUGCGUAGAGAUCGGGAGGAAGGCCGGUGGCGAAGGCGGCGCUCUGGAACAUUUCUGACGCUGAGGCUCGAAAGCGUGGGGAGCAAACAGG
This 253-nucleotide ribosomal RNA is filed under the name uncultured bacterium. Its description in RNAcentral is "partial 16S ribosomal RNA". It matches the Rfam family "Bacterial small subunit ribosomal RNA", at positions 524 to 776 of the family's 1533-position model. The record is from RNAcentral.